This 450-nucleotide ribosomal RNA is filed under the name uncultured bacterium. Its description in RNAcentral is "partial 16S ribosomal RNA". It matches the Rfam family "Bacterial small subunit ribosomal RNA", at positions 338 to 795 of the family's 1533-position model. The record is from RNAcentral.
CCUACGGGGGGCAGCAGCUAAGAAUAUUCCGCAAUGGACGAAAGUCUGACGGAGCGACGCCGCGUGGAUGAAGAAGGCCGAAAGGUUGUAAAAUCCUUUUGUUGGGGAAGAAUAAGCGUGGGAGGGAAUGCCCGCGUGAUGACAUGAACCGACGAAUAAGUCCCGGCUAACUACGUGCCAGCAGCCGCGGUCACACGUAGGGGACAAACGUGAUUCGGAAUUACUGGGCGUAAAGUGGUAGUAGGCGACUGAAAGGCACCGGCUCAACCGGUGGAUUGCGUCAGGAACUGCAGAGCUUGAGUCAUGGAGAGGAAGGCAGAAUUCCUGGUGUAGGGGUGAAAUCUGUAGAGAUCAGGAAGAAUACCAGUGGCGAAGGCGGCCUUCUGGCCAAUGACUGACGCUGAGGUGCGAAAGUGUGGGGAUCAAACAGGAUUAGAUACCCCUGUAGUC